GAGGGUAUAGCUCAGUGGUAGAGUGUGUGCUUAGCAUGUCCUGGGUUCAAUCCCCAGUACCUCCA
RNAcentral lists this transfer RNA (65 nucleotides) under Camelus bactrianus (Bactrian camel). It matches the Rfam family "tRNA". From Rfam's summary of the family: Transfer RNA (tRNA) molecules are approximately 80 nucleotides in length. Their secondary structure includes four short double-helical elements and three loops (D, anti-codon, and T loops). Further hydrogen bonds mediate the characteristic L-shaped molecular structure. tRNAs have two regions of fundamental functional importance: the anti-codon, which is responsible for specific mRNA codon recognition, and the 3' end, to which the tRNAs corresponding amino acid is attached (by aminoacyl-tRNA synthetases). tRNAs cope with the degeneracy of the genetic code in two manners: having more than one tRNA (with a specific anti-codon) for a particular amino acid; and 'wobble' base-pairing, i.e. permitting non-standard base-pairing at the 3rd anti-codon position. The record is from Rfam by way of RNAcentral. Lineage: Eukaryota; Metazoa; Chordata; Mammalia; Artiodactyla; Camelidae. RNAcentral also lists the same sequence under 3 other names.